CAGUCGCCGCGGGAAUACGUAGGGGCCAAGCGUUGUCCGGAGUUACUGGGCGUAAAGCGUGUGCAGGCGGCUCAUUGCGCCCGGCGUGAAAGCCCCCGGCUCAACCGGGGAGGGUCGUCGGGGACGGGUGAGCUUGAGGGAUGCAGGGGCUGGUGGAAUUCCCGGUGUAGUGGUGAAAUGCGUAGAGAUCGGGAGGAACACCCGUGGCGAAGGCGGCCAGCUGGGCAUCACCUGACGCUGAGACACGAAGGCGUGGGGAGCGAACGGGAUUAGAUACCCGCGUAGUCCCUGUCUCUUAUAC
This 301-nucleotide ribosomal RNA is filed under the name uncultured bacterium. Its description in RNAcentral is "partial 16S ribosomal RNA". It matches the Rfam family "Bacterial small subunit ribosomal RNA", at positions 509 to 807 of the family's 1533-position model. The record is from RNAcentral.